AUACUUACCUGGCAGGGGAGAUAGCAUGAUCACGAAGGUGGUCUUCCCAGGGCGAGGCUUAUCCAUUCAUUGCACUCCGGAUGUGCUGACCCCUGCGAUAUCCCUAAAUGUGGGAAACUCGACUGCAUAAUUUGUGGUGGUGGGGUACUGUGUCCACGCUCUCCCCUA
RNAcentral lists this small nuclear RNA (168 nucleotides) under Echinops telfairi (small Madagascar hedgehog). RNAcentral describes it as "U1 spliceosomal RNA (ENSETEG00000021875.1)". It matches the Rfam family "U1 spliceosomal RNA". Rfam says of the family: U1 is a small nuclear RNA (snRNA) component of the spliceosome (involved in pre-mRNA splicing). Lineage: Eukaryota; Metazoa; Chordata; Mammalia; Afrosoricida; Tenrecidae. The record is from RNAcentral.